UCUAUUUUUUUUAUAUAUAAACUCUUUUGUUUUUGUUUUUAUUAGAUUUUCUUGUAUAUUAAUUUAUAUUUUGUUUGAUUGUUUUUUCUCAGGAUACUGUGGAAGCGAGCUGUAUGGGUAUUCUUUUCUCAUUCAUUUAAGCUUUAUUGUCUAAACGUCCGGAGUUAUGCUUGCAUGGCUUUCGGUUAGAUGAUAAACUUUCUUGAAAGAAAGAAAUCCCGGUUGCGGUUUAUUGUAUUUCGAUACAAUUCAUCUACGAUUAUGUAGACCAUACAAAAAAAAAAAAAA
RNAcentral lists this long non-coding RNA (288 nucleotides) under Daucus carota (carrot). RNAcentral's name for it is "long non-coding RNA (DCAR_LNC006665)". The record is from RNAcentral. Lineage: Eukaryota; Viridiplantae; Streptophyta; Magnoliopsida; Apiales; Apiaceae.